AGCGGCGGACGGGUGAGUAACACGUGGGUAACCUGCCCAAGAGACUGGGAUAACACCUGGAAACAGAUGCUAAUACCGGAUAACAACACUAGACGCAUGUCUAGAGCUUGAAAGAUGGUUCUGCUAUCACUCUUGGAUGGACCUGCGGUGCAUUAGCUAGUUGGUAAGGUAACGGCUUACCAAGGCAAUGAUGCAUAGCCGAGUUGAGAGACUGAUCGGCCACAUUGGGACUGAGACACGGCCCAAACUCCUACGGGAGGCAGCAGUAGGGAAUCUUCCACAAUGGACGAAAGUCUGAUGGAGCAACGCCGCGUGAGUGAAGAAGGGUUUCGGCUCGUAAAGCUCUGUUGGUAGUGAAGAAAGAUAGAGGUAGUAACUGGCCUUUAUUUGACGGUAAUUACUUAGAAAGUCACGGCUAACUACGUGCAGCAGCCGCGGUAAUACGUAGGUGGCAAGCGUUGUCCGGAUUUAUUGGGCGUAAAGCGAGUGCAGGCGGCUCAAUAAGUCUGAUGUGAAAGCCUUCGGCUCAACCGGAGAAUUGCAUCAGAAACUGUUGAACUUGAGUGCAGAAGGGGAGAGUGGAACUCCAUGUGUAGCGGUGGAAUGCGUAGAUAUAUGGAAGAACACCAGUGGCGAAGGCGGCUCUCUGGUCUGCAACUGACGCUGAGGCUCGAAAGCAUGGGUAGCGAACAGGAUUAGAUACCCUGGUAGUCCAUGCCGUAAACGAUGAGUGCUAAGUGU
This 741-nucleotide ribosomal RNA is filed under the name uncultured bacterium. RNAcentral describes it as "bacterial SSU rRNA". It matches the Rfam family "Bacterial small subunit ribosomal RNA", at positions 94 to 823 of the family's 1533-position model. The record is from RNAcentral.